AAUCACUGUGUGGCAGAGCCUCCAUUUGCAUUCCUUUUGUGAGGAGCAGAGGAACCAGGUGAAGAGAUGCUAGAUGAGACAAACAGGUCAGUGUGGUACCCACCUGGCUUCUCGGCGUUCCUUCAUCAGUAGACAUUGAUAAGAGGCGAGACAAGGAAUUCAAGGAAGGCUUUACUGGGGCUGCAGCAGGAGCGGAAACAAGCAACAGGUCCCUUCGCUGGUUGGCAAGCCUCCUGAGGAGGGGGCGAGCUGGUUCCUUAUGUGGGGUGAGGGCAGGGGUGGGACCCGGGGCCAGGUGAGAGGUGUGGUUAGGUGGUCGGCCCACCCCUUUGGUGGUGCUGUGUGCAGGGGGUAUGUCCAGGAUCCUGCUUUUGGUCUCAGCUCCUCAGAAAUGGCAGAAAGUUUUUUUUGUUUUGUUUUGUUUUGUUUUGUUUCCAUUUUGGGCGAUUCUUGUUGCCUUAAUUUCCCCCAAGGGUGCAAGCAUGCAUUUAUUUUUAGUCCCUUAUAGUUUCUUUGUAUUUUGCUGCUAGAGGAGGUGUUUGUUCAGGUGCAAACACUGCAGUCAGUGCAGCCAAGGGUCCCAGGCCCCAGACUGUCUCAGAUUCACUCAGACAACACCACCAGCAGCAAAACCUUCACGUAGUAGAAGAGGUGAAAUGAACCUGUGUACACCGAUAUAUAAACAUACUACCUAAUUACUUAGCAGUGCUUCUUAAAGGCAGGCAGCCAAGUCCUGUCUCCCAGGAGACCCCACUGUCAUCCCCCAUUCUCGCUGCCUCUGUCAGUUCUUGAAGAACGCAGGGAACCUGGGUGGAGAGGAGAGUUCUCAGCCUUCCUUGGGCCCCAAACUGGUCGUAUGGCCAAGUUAUGCCCAGUGGGAUGCAAAUGCAGUUGGUCUGUGCCGCCUGCAGGUUUCAUCCUCAUCAGGAUGCUCCCCGUCCUCACGUUCCCUGCCCUGAUCUCACGACCAGGAACAUGGUGCCAGCAGGGCGGUGCCAGCUCUUGCCCCUUGGAAUAAUGAAGGGGUAUAACUCAGGGACGGCGGAGCAAAAGGAGAGGCCCGUAUAUUAUUGCGUACAGUUUACCUCAGUACGUGGGCACAAAAGGACAGUAAUAAUUCUGUUAUGUGAAAAAUUAUUGCAUUAAUGAUGUCCCCCACUGAAUCAAUUGUUUUUAAAGACUUAUCCUGUGACCACAUACUGGAGGCUUCACUUUAUACAUAUUCGGGUGGCGUUUUGAUUUUGUAAGACAACUGAAGCUCCUAUUAAUCAUUGUUGCUUGAUGCUGUAUGCUUUCAGAAUGUUAUCUGUAAUAAUUUAC
RNAcentral lists this long non-coding RNA (1320 nucleotides) under Sus scrofa (pig). RNAcentral's name for it is "lncRNA (ENSSSCG00015057705.1)". Lineage: Eukaryota; Metazoa; Chordata; Mammalia; Artiodactyla; Suidae. The record is from RNAcentral.